Molecule: ribosomal RNA, 374 nt
Filed under: uncultured organism
Description: partial 16S ribosomal RNA
Rfam family: Bacterial small subunit ribosomal RNA
Source: RNAcentral
GUAGGUGGCAAGCGUUGUCCGGAAUUAUUGGGCGUAAAGCGCGCGCAGGCGGUUCUUUAAGUCUGAUGUGAAAGCCCACGGCUCAACCGUGGAGGGUCAUUGGAAACUGGAGAACUUGAGUACAGAAGAGGAAAGCGGAACUCCACGUGUAGCGGUGAAAUGCGUAGAGAUGUGGAGGAACACCAGUGGCGAAGGCGGCUUUCUGGUCUGUAACUGACGCUGAGGCGCGAAAGCGUGGGGAGCAAACAGGAUUAGAUACCCUGGUAGUCCACGCCGUAAACGAUGAGUGCUAAGUGUUAGGGGGGUUUUCCGCCCCCCUUAGUGCUGCAGCUAACGCAUUAAGCACUCCGCCUGGGAGUACGGCCGCAGGGCUG